RNAcentral lists this long non-coding RNA (424 nucleotides) under Zostera marina. RNAcentral describes it as "long non-coding RNA (ZMAR_LNC004113)". Lineage: Eukaryota; Viridiplantae; Streptophyta; Magnoliopsida; Alismatales; Zosteraceae. The record is from RNAcentral.
AAAAACUUUCCUUUUGUUUCCUUCUUUCUUUGUCAUGUGAAUCAAAUUGCAAUAAAGAUUGUCCAAAAUAAACAGGUAAUAUAGUUUUGAUAUUUCUAAAUCAUAAGAUAUUUCUGUUCUUGUUGCCAGUCAAAAUCCACAAGUAGAGUCUCAUCAAUGUUCUGUGGAACUCAAGACAAAUGUGCCGUCUGCAAGAAAACUGCAUACCCAUUAGAGAAGGUGAUCUAUAAAUACAAAUUAAAUUUUAACAUCACCCAAAGUGAAUGACUGAUUACAUGAAAUAAAUCUGUACAGUUAACUGUGGAGGGGGAGUCAUACCACAAGACAUGCUUUAGGUGUUCGCAUGGAGGCUGUCCUCUGACUAUGUCAUCCUAUGCUGCAUUAGAUGGAAUCCUCUACUGUAAGCAUCACUUUUCACAGCUUU